RNAcentral lists this ribosomal RNA (255 nucleotides) under uncultured bacterium. Its description in RNAcentral is "partial 16S ribosomal RNA". It matches the Rfam family "Bacterial small subunit ribosomal RNA", at positions 524 to 777 of the family's 1533-position model. The record is from RNAcentral.
UACGUAGGGGGCGAGCGUUGUCCGAAGUUACUGGGCGUAAAGCGCGCGUAGGCGGUCAUUUAAGUUCGGGGUGAAAGGUUCAGCGCUCAACGCGAACAGUGCCUUGAAUACUGGGUGACUUGAGUUCGGGGGAGGGCAGUGGAAUUCCUGGUGUAGCGGUGAAAUGCGUAGAUAUCAGGAGGAACACCGGUGGUGUAGACGGCUUACUGGACCACGACUGACACUGAGGCACGAAAGCGUGGGUAGCAAACAGGG